AUGGAGGGGCUCUGCUUA
Molecule: unclassified non-coding RNA, 18 nt
Filed under: Mus musculus (house mouse)
Lineage: Eukaryota; Metazoa; Chordata; Mammalia; Rodentia; Muridae
Description: oocyte_clustered_small_RNA13996
Source: RNAcentral